Molecule: ribosomal RNA, 264 nt
Filed under: Blastocystis sp.
Lineage: Eukaryota; Bigyra; Opalinata; Blastocystidae
Description: partial small subunit ribosomal RNA
Rfam family: Eukaryotic small subunit ribosomal RNA
Source: RNAcentral
ACUCGCUAAUGGGUCAUUAUAUACAGCUUAUAGUUUAUUUGAUGAAGAAUACUAAUUGGAUAACCGUAGUAAUUCUAGAGCUAAUACAUGUAUAAAGUCUUGUAGACUGCAUUUAUUAGAAUGAAAACCAUAGGUUUCGGCCUAUUCGUGAGUAAUAAUAACUAAUCAUAUCGUAUGCUUAUGUAACGAUGUGUCUUUCAAGUUUCUGCCCUAUCAGCUUUCGAUGGUAGUGUAUUGGACUACCAUGGCAGUAACGGGUAACGA